UGGACACAGUGGACACACAGAUGCACAGGGACCCAGGACAGGGCAUCUGGGCAUGGAUCUCUGCAUGUUUAGCUCUCUGUUCCAGGGGCUGUCUCAGAGGUUGAGAAGGGUGGUGACUCUCAGACCCUACACUCCUGGAUCUGUGGUUUGAAGAAGAAUCCCUCCGGCUCAGUAUGGACAUACUUUAUGACCGCCCAGACAGCAAAGAUAAGGAAACCCAGAGCCAGGAAGGCACCACAGCUCCCAGGAUUCUCUCCACUAUCCCAUUCUCCCUCAGCUGAACAUGGAAGCCUCAGAAGGAGAGAGCUUCCUCAUCCCUCUGCAACCAGAAUUGGACGUUCCUUCCUUUUUGACCAGCAGGAGGACACCUGUAGGCCCUUCACCACUCCUGUUUUUACCUUCCACCAUCAUCAAGGUUUUACUCUCAUAAAUCUGGAACAGAGUAAUAAUGCUCAGAUCCCUUCUCAUGCCUGCCUGUACCUGAGCCACCAUCUCCACAGAAGUUACCUCUGCCUAUUUGUCAACAUCCACGUUCAUCAAAGAAAUAGUACACAAUUCCUUUCCCUCA
Galeopterus variegatus (Sunda flying lemur) is the source of this 568-nucleotide long non-coding RNA. RefSeq lists it as uncharacterized. The record is from RefSeq and is a predicted model, not a curated record. The transcript is spliced from 2 exons. Lineage: Eukaryota; Metazoa; Chordata; Mammalia; Dermoptera; Cynocephalidae.